GAUGAACGCUGGCGGCGUGCCUAAUACAUGCAAGUCGAGCGAACAGACGAGGAGCUUGCUCCUCUGACGUUAGCGGCGGACGGGUGAGUAACACGUGGAUAACCUACCUAUAAGACUGGGAUAACUUCGGGAAACCGGAGCUAAUACCGGAUAAUAUAUUGAACCGCAUGGUUCAAUAGUGAAAGACGGUUUUGCUGUCACUUAUAGAUGGAUCCGCGCCGCAUUAGCUAGUUGGUAAGGUAACGGCUUACCAAGGCGACGAUGCGUAGCCGACCUGAGAGGGUGAUAGGCCACACUGGAGGUGAGACACGGUCAAGACGCCUACGGGAGGCAGCAGUAGGGAAUCUUCCGCAGUGGGCGAAAGCCUGACGGAGCAACGCCGCGUGAGUGAUGAAGGUCUUCGGAGCGUAAAACUCUGUUAUUAGGGAAGAACAAAUGUGUAAGUAACUAUGCACGUCUUGACGGUACCUAAUCAGAAAGCCACGGCUAACUACGUG
RNAcentral lists this ribosomal RNA (497 nucleotides) under uncultured bacterium. Its description in RNAcentral is "partial 16S ribosomal RNA". It matches the Rfam family "Bacterial small subunit ribosomal RNA", at positions 28 to 507 of the family's 1533-position model. The record is from RNAcentral.